UAGAAGAGAUAAUGCUAGAAUAAGUAAUAAGAAAGUACUAAACUUUCUCCAGGCGCAAGUGUAAGCCAGACCGGACAAACCACUGGCAAUCAACGGACCCAGAUCCGAGGGGAUAACAAUAAAAAUAAAUACACAAGAAAACCCUGCACCAAGAACCGUUAACCCAACACAGGUGCGCCAACUAAAGGAAAGACUAAAAGGAGAGGAAGGAACUCGGCAAACACUAACCCCGCCUGUUUACCAAAAACAUCGCCUCUUGCUAAAAAGAAUGUAUUAGAGGUCCCGCCUGCCCUGUGACCACUGUGUUUAACGGCCGCGGUAUCAUAACCGUGCGAAGGUAGCGUAAUCACCUGUCCUUUAAAUGAGGACCUGUAUGAAUGGCACCACGAGGGUUUGACUGUCUCCCUCCCCCAGUCAAUGAAAUUGAUCUGUCCGUGCAGAAGCGGAUAUAAGAACAUAAGACGAGAAGACCCUAUGGAGCUUUAGGCUAAAGGCUCAAACAUGUAAAAAAAUCUCUCACAAACGAAAUGUAAACAAAGAAGAUUUAAACCCAAUGUCCUGCUGGCCAGAUGCCUUCGGUUGGGGCGACCACGGGGAAUAACAAAACCCCCGAAUGGAAUGAAAACAUUUUCCUAAACCAAGAAAUACACUUCUAAGCAACAGAAAAUCUGACCAAAUAUGACCCGGGAUAUAGACCAACCCGAUCAAUGAACCAAGUUACCCUAGGGAUAACAGCGCAAUCCUUUCUCAGAGUCCCUAUCGACGAAAGGGUUUACGACCUCGAUGUUGGAUCAGGACAUCCUAAUGGUGAAGCCGCUAUUAAGGGUUCGUUUGUUCAACGAUUAACAGUCCUACGUGAUCUGAGUUCAGACCGGAGCAAUCCAGGUCGGUUUCUAUCUAUGACUUUACUCCUCCCCAGUACGAAAGGACCGGGAAAAGGGGGCCCAUACUGAAAACAAGCCCUAUCUCAACUUCUUGAAAACAAAUAAAAGAG
RNAcentral lists this ribosomal RNA (994 nucleotides) under Brachysomophis crocodilinus (crocodile snake eel). RNAcentral's name for it is "partial 16S ribosomal RNA". It matches the Rfam family "Bacterial large subunit ribosomal RNA", at positions 1283 to 2789 of the family's 2925-position model. The record is from RNAcentral. Lineage: Eukaryota; Metazoa; Chordata; Actinopteri; Anguilliformes; Ophichthidae.